RNAcentral lists this ribosomal RNA (204 nucleotides) under Triticum aestivum (bread wheat). Its description in RNAcentral is "partial small subunit ribosomal RNA". Lineage: Eukaryota; Viridiplantae; Streptophyta; Magnoliopsida; Poales; Poaceae. The record is from RNAcentral.
AUGGCUGUAGCUCCCACAGGUGCCACUCGGUGUCCCGAAGCUUGCAAACUUGAUACUGCUGAUGACCUGACCUUCUUUGGGGCAUUCCAGACGAAGUGCUGGAUAUCUUGCUUGGGUCACCACCAAACUGCUCGAAAAGGACUAUAUCAUUGCUGCCUGGUUGGAGAAACGAACGGGGCACAUGAUACCUGUUUAACAAGGUAA